AUUGAACGCUGGCGGAAUGCUUUACACAUGCAAGUCGAACGGUAGAGGGGGCAACCCCUCGAGAGUGGCGAACGGGUGAGUAAUAUAUCGGAACGUGCCCAGUCGGGGGGGAUAACGUAGCGAAAGUUACGCUAAUACCGCAUACGAUCUACGGAUGAAAGCGGGGGAUCGCAAGACCUCGCGCGAUUAGAGAGGCCGAUAUCAGAUUAGUUAGUUGGUGGGGUAAAGGGUCACCAAGCCAACGAUCUGUAGCUGGUCUGAGAGGACGACCAACCACACUGGAACAGAGAGACGGUCCAGACUCCUACGGGAGGCAGCAGUGGGGAAUUUUGGGCAAGGGAGGCAAGUCUGAUCCUGCCAUUCCGCGUGCAGGAUGAAGGCCCUCGGGUUGUAAACUGCUUUUGUACGGAACGAAAAGGUUUCCAUUAAUACUGGGAGCUCAUGACGGUACCGUAAGAAUAAGCACCGGCUAACUACGUGCCAGCCGCCGCGGUAA
This 496-nucleotide ribosomal RNA is filed under the name uncultured bacterium. Its description in RNAcentral is "partial 16S ribosomal RNA". It matches the Rfam family "Bacterial small subunit ribosomal RNA", at positions 30 to 523 of the family's 1533-position model. The record is from RNAcentral.